CCGCGGUAAUACAGAGGGUGCGAGCGUUGUUCGGAAUUACUGGGCGUAAAGCGCGCGCAGGCGGGUCCUGUAAGUCUGAUGUGAAAGCCCUGGGCUCAACCUGGGAAUUGCACUGGAUACUGGCAGGCUAGAGUGCGGUAGAGGAUGGCGGAAUUCCCGGUGUAGCAGUGAAAUGCGUAGAGAUCGGGAGGAACAUCUGUGGCGAAGGCGGCCAUCUGGACCAGCACUGACACUGAGGCACGAAAGCGUGGGGAGCAAACAG
This 262-nucleotide ribosomal RNA is filed under the name uncultured bacterium. RNAcentral's name for it is "partial 16S ribosomal RNA". It matches the Rfam family "Bacterial small subunit ribosomal RNA", at positions 515 to 775 of the family's 1533-position model. The record is from RNAcentral.